GGCAGGAAAGAUGGUGGAAUGAGGUGGACAUCAUUACCCUAGGUACAUGUAUGAUUGCCCAAAUAGUGUGACUCUACACCACGUACAACUAGGGAAGUGAAAAGUUGUGUUCCGUUUGUAUACAUUAAAUUGAAAUGCAUUCUGCUGCCAUGUAUAACUAAUUAGAACGAAUUUAAAAAGGGUGGAGCUGGGGAAUGGAAUGUGGCUCAGUGGUUGAGUGCCCCUAAGUUCAAUCCCAGGUACCAAAAAUAAUAAAUAAAUAAAUAAAUAAAUAAAUAAAUAAAUAAGCAAUUUAAACAUGCAGAGCAGCUUUCCCAGCAUGAAUAUGGGGAAAUUCAGAGAAGUCUUUCCGACUAGGGACUCCUCCUGAAACUCUCAGGGAACUGGGAAGUCCUUCACGAAUGGGGCUGUAUGAGGUUAAAAGACUGUGACGACCCGGUGGGCGAGCCAUUGACAAGCAAGGUCUGGUUGGGGAAGGUCCAAAGAAACUCGGGUGCAUCUCCGUGGCCUGGCUUCCAGAUCAUAUUUGAAUAGAUGGCUUUUAUUGUUUCAGGAAGACUCACAUACAUGGGUGUAUACACUAGAUGCCCUACUAUGCAACUUACUUUUUUACUUAAGGUACCAAAGACAUCUUGCUGAUGACUACAUAUAGCUCAAACUCACAAUCCAUGCAAUAGAUAUAACAGAACUUAUUCAGCUAGCACCCUAUUAAUGUACAGAUACUUUGGAAUCAGUGAUAGAAGGAACACGCCUGGAUAUUAGUUCCUGCAUACUGAGGUUUUUAGCACACAGGUCAGCUCCUGUCACUUGAUUCCUCUAGGGGAAAACACAAACUCCUUACCUGGGUUUCUGAUUCCUCCAUUCCCUGGUCCUGUCACCCUCUCUGAGCUCAUCAUGAUAUUCCCUCCCUGUGCCAUUAGACACCAGCUACACCAGCCUUAUUGCAGGUCCUUGAAAUGUGCCAAACCUGUCCCUGCCUUGAGGCUGCCGCUCUGGCUGUUCCCUCUUCUAGAAUGCCCUUCCCUGAUGCUCAGUGACAGUUUCCUCACCAGUGCUCUAGGGAAAUGUCACCUCUUCACAGAUGGCUUCCUGCUCACCCAAGUUUAAGUGGCCACCCUCCCUCUCCUCUGUCAUAUGUUCUCUAUGCAGCCUCCAAAAUACUUUAAUGUGUUCUCUUAAAAGAUACGUUGAAGUGUCUAACCCCAAGUGACCAUGACUGACCUUGUUUGGGAAUAGUUGCAGAUGCAGGCCCGUUAUGAUGACGUCACACCGCUGCACCUAGUAGAAGAAAACGUAGCCCCAACACUCCAUCACGUCAGCUUAAGAACGGACUUCCUCAAUGAGAAGUAAGAUCAAGAAUGAAUAAAUGGAGGGGCUGGGGUUGUGGCUCAGUGGUAGAGGGCUUGCCUAGUAUGGGUGAGGCACUGGGUUUGAUUCUCAGUACCACAUAUAAAUAAAUAAAUGUCCAUCAACAACUAACAAAAUAUUUUUUAAAAAGAAUGAAUAAAUGGAAAGGGAUCAAACUAAAAACUUGCUUCACGACAAAACAAAACCCGAUCAAUAAGUGGGCAAAGGAACUGAACAGGUGCUUCACAGAAGAAGAAAGACAAAUGGUCAACAAAUGUAAGAAAAAUGUUCCUCAUCUCAAGCAAAUAGAGAAACGCAAAUCAAAACUACACUGAGAUUUCAUCUCACUCCAAUCAGAAUGGCAAUUAUCAAGAAUACAAGGAACAGUACAUGUUGGCGAGGGUGUGGGGAAAAGGCACACUCAUACGUUGCCGGGGGAAUGCAGAUUAAGGCAAUCACUCUAGAAAGCAGUAUGGAGAUACCUUAGAAAACUUGGAGUGGAAACACCAUUUGACCCAGUAGUACUAUUCCUUGGUAUAUAUAUAUCCAAAGGACUUAAAAUCAGCAUACUACAGUGAUGCAGUCACAUCAGUGUUGAUAGUAGCUGAACUACUUCACAGUAGCUAAGCUAUGGAACUAACCUAGAGCCCUCCAACAGAUGAAUGGAUAAAGAAAAUGGGGUAUAUAUACACAUGGAAUAUUACUCAGUUAUAAAAAAGUGAAUUUAUGACUUUUGCCAGUAAAAAUCAGGAGACUAUUAUGCUAAGUGAAAUAAGCCAAUCCUAAAAAAACAAAGGUCAAAUGUUCUCUCUAAAUGUGGAUGGUGACCCAUAACAAGGGAGGGUAGGGAAAGGAAGUAUAGAUUAGACAAAGGGGAAUGAAGGGAAGGGAGGGGGGAUGGGAAUAGGAACACAGUAGAAUGAAUCGGACAUAACUUUCCUAUGUUCAUAGAUGAAUACAUGACCAGUGAAACUCCACCUCAUGUACAACCACAGGAUUGGGAUCCUAAUUAGAAUAAAUUUUACUGUGUGUAUGUAUAAUAUGUCAAAAUACACUUUACUGUCAUGUAUAUCUAAAAAAUUUUUAAAAAGAAAUGUGCAGAAUAGGCAAAUCAAUAAAGACAGAACAUGAAUGGUAGUUGUUUUGGGUGAGGAUACUAAGGGGAAUGGAGAGUAGCAGAUCAUUAGUAUAGAAAAGAGAUUUCUCUUUGGGGUGACUAGAAUAUUCUAACAUUAGAUUGAGGUGAUUGCCGUGCAACUCUCUGAAUAUACUGAACAACUUUAGAUCAUGUACAUUUUAAAUGGGCAAAUUGUAGAGUAUGUGAAUUAGGUCUCAGUAAAACUAUUCUUCAAAGAGUAGAGAAAAGGGAGGGUGGAGAUGAGGUCAUGCUGUAGUUGACCCCAAUCAAAUUAUUGGUGUCCUUAUAGGAAGAGAAAAAAUGUGGCAAAGAGACACAGGAGAGAAGAAUACCCUGUGGCACGUGAUGGGUUGGGACAGAGGCAUCUGAGAGCUAGGGGACACGAAGCUCCUCACCAACCCCCAGGAUCUGGGAGAGAGGCUAGGAGCCAACCCUACUGAUGCCUUGAUUUCAGACUUCUGUUCUCCAGGACUGUGAGGAAUAAGUUCCUGUUUCUUGAAUUCAUGAAGUUUGUGGCUAUUUGUUAUAGCAGCUACAGGAAACUAAUACACAGCCCCAGUCUUUGUCCAGUUCCUUCCUAGUUUCUUCCAUUGUUUCUUUGGGGUCUGCCUCUCCCAUGAGAAUGCAAGCUCCAUGAGAGCAGGGCCUUGUCACCACACCCCCAGUGACUGCCACGGUGACACUGACUGAAUGAAUCAACAGUGGGUUCAGCCUGAAGGAACCUAUCAGUGAGGCCGCUGAGUCGAAUGGCAGACUUUUGUUGUUGUUUGACACUGGGAAUUGCACCAGGGCCUCACUCCGGGCUGUCCCACCGGGCCUCCACCCCAGCCCCAGGCAGUGAGUCAGAUUUCUCUUCCCGAAACACCAUUGCUGUGGCACUCAGUUUCCUAAAUGUAUGCUACCCUCUCCCAGUAAUAAAAUUGUUGGU
Molecule: long non-coding RNA, 3413 nt
Filed under: Marmota monax (woodchuck)
Lineage: Eukaryota; Metazoa; Chordata; Mammalia; Rodentia; Sciuridae
Source: RNAcentral